RNAcentral lists this signal recognition particle RNA (298 nucleotides) under Saimiri boliviensis boliviensis (Bolivian squirrel monkey). RNAcentral describes it as "Metazoan signal recognition particle RNA (ENSSBOG00000004285.1)". It matches the Rfam family "Metazoan signal recognition particle RNA". From Rfam's summary of the family: The signal recognition particle (SRP) is a universally conserved ribonucleoprotein. It is involved in the co-translational targeting of proteins to membranes. The eukaryotic SRP consists of a 300-nucleotide 7S RNA and six proteins: SRPs 72, 68, 54, 19, 14, and 9. Lineage: Eukaryota; Metazoa; Chordata; Mammalia; Primates; Cebidae. The record is from RNAcentral.
GCCAGGUGUGGUGGUGUGCCCCUGUAGUCCCAGCUACUUGGGAGGCUGAGGCUGGAGGAUUAUUUGAGUCCAGGAGUUCUGCGCUGAAGUGUGCUAUGCCAAUCAGGUUUCUGCACUAAGUUCAGCAUCAAUAUGGUGACCUUCCAGGAGUGGGGGACCACCAGGUCACCUAAGGAGGGGUGAACCAUCCAGGUAGGAAAUGGAGCAGGUCAAAACUCCCGCACUGAUCAGUAGUGGGAUUGCACCUGUGAAUAGCCACUGCACUCCAGCCUGGGCAACAUAGUGAGACCCCAUCACU